AAAAGCUCGUAGUUGGAUCUCAGAUCCGGCCGGACGGUCCACCUACCGGUGGUUACUGUUCGUUGCCGAUCGUUCAGGCGGUUAUUCUUGAUGAUCUUCACCGGUUGUCUCGGGUGACCGCCAAGUUUACUUUGAAAAAAUUAGAGUGCUCAAAGCAGACGUGACGUCUGAAUAAUUGUGCAUGGAAUAAUGGAAUAGGACCUCGGUUCUAUUUUGUUGGUUUUCGGAACACGAGGUAAUGAUUAAGAGGGACAGACGGGGGCAUUCGUAUUGCGACGCUAGAGGUGAAAUUCUUGGACCGUCGCAAGACGAACUACUGCGAAAGCAUUUGCCAAGAAUGUUUCCAUUAAUCAAGAACGAAAGUUAGAGGUUCGAAGGCGAUCAGAUACCGCCCUAGUUCUAACCAUAAACAAUGCCAGCCAGCGAUCCGGCUGUGUUCCUCAAAUGACACGCCGGGCAGCUUCCGGGAAACCAAAGCUUUUGGGUUCCGGGGGAAGUAUGGUUGCAAAGCUGAAACUUAAAGGAAUAGACGGAAGGGCACCACCAGGAUUGGAGCCUGCGGCUUAAUUUGACUCAACACGUGGAAACUUACCCGGCCCGGACACAGGAAGGAUUGACAGAUUAAGAGCUCUUUCUUGAUUCUGUGGGUGGUGGUGCAUGGCCGUUCUUAGUCGGUGGUGCGAAUUGUCUGGUUAAUUCCGAUAACGGACGAGACUCUAGCCUACUAAAUAGACGUUCCCAUCAUCUUGUGUGGGAUGCUCUUCUUAGAGGGACAAGUGGCGUUUAGCCGCACGAGACAGAGCAAUAACAGGUCUGAGAUGCCCUUAGAUGUCCGGGGCCGCACGCGCGCUACAUUGAAGGAUUCAGCGUGUGCUUUCCCUGUCCGAAAGGACUGGGUAACCCGUUGAACCUCCUUCGUGCUGGGGAUUGGCGAAUGUAAUUGACGCCAUGAACGAGGAAUUCCCAGUAAGCAUGAGUCAUCAGCUCGUGCUGAUUACGUCCCUGCCCUUUGUACUCACCGCCCGUCGCUACUACCGAUUGAGUGAUUUAGUGAGGUCUUCGGACUGGCGCUCGGAUUGGCCUUCGCGGUCGAGCCGGUGUGCCCGGAAAGAUGACCAAAACUUGAUUACUUAGAGGAAGUUAAAAGUCGUAAANAAGGUUUUCG
RNAcentral lists this ribosomal RNA (1165 nucleotides) under Poecilopachys sp. 2 DD-2019. Its description in RNAcentral is "SSU rRNA". It matches the Rfam family "Eukaryotic small subunit ribosomal RNA", at positions 622 to 1805 of the family's 1831-position model. The record is from RNAcentral. Lineage: Eukaryota; Metazoa; Arthropoda; Arachnida; Araneae; Araneidae.